GUUGAACGCUGGCGGCAUGCCUAACACAUGCAAGUCGAGCGGAAGAAGGGAGCUUGCUCCUGGAUUCAGCGGCGGACGGGUGAGUAAUGCCUAUGAAUCUGCCUGGUAGUGGGGGAUAACGUCCGGAAACGGGCGCUAAUACCGCAUACGUCCUGAGGGAGAAAGUGGGGGAUCUUCGGACCUCACGCUAUCAGAUGAGCCUAGGUCGGAUUAGCUAGUUGGUGGGGUAAAGGCCUACCAAGGCGACGAUCCGUAACUGGUCUGAGAGGAUGAUCAGUCACAGUGGAAGUGAGACACGGUCCAGACUCCUACGGGAGGCAGCAGUGGGGAAUAUUGGAAAAUGGGCGAAAGCCUGCUCCAGCCAUGCAGCGUGUGUGAAGAAGGUCUUCGGAUUGUAAAGCACUUUACGUUGGGAGGACGGGCAGUAAGUGAAUACCUUGCUGUUUUGACGUUACCAACAGAAUAAGCACCGGCUAACUUCGUG
This 484-nucleotide ribosomal RNA is filed under the name uncultured bacterium. RNAcentral describes it as "partial 16S ribosomal RNA". It matches the Rfam family "Bacterial small subunit ribosomal RNA", at positions 28 to 507 of the family's 1533-position model. The record is from RNAcentral.